Long non-coding RNA from Hyaena hyaena (striped hyena), 594 nucleotides. RefSeq lists it as uncharacterized. The record is from RefSeq and is a predicted model, not a curated record. The transcript has 3 exons. Lineage: Eukaryota; Metazoa; Chordata; Mammalia; Carnivora; Hyaenidae.
GUUAAGUAGAUGGGAACUAAGAUGUCUCCUGAGCCCACAUGGAAACUUCACUGUCUCCAUCCUACUGAAUGCUCUGUGCAAAAUACCACUGCAUCAAAGAAGCCAAAUGUCCUGAACUCCAUGAGAGAAAACCACAGAUGACACAGCUCUGGGACGGAUCCCUGAACAGACUAGCUCUGAACCCCCAGUGCCUCUCUGCCCGGGGCCAUCUCCAAGACAGUGCAGGGCCCAGAACAAAUUCUACUCUCCACCCCCUAAUCUUUCUCUAUAAGGAAGAUCAGGUUAAAUGAAUGUACAGCAAGGGGAGCAGAAAACCAGAAGAUGGUCACACAAAGACACCAUGACGCUGAAAGCGAGGACCAGGGGGGAGGUUUGUGCUUAUACAUAUGUCAACAAGGCAGCGUUGGUUUAAAAGCAUCUGUAUUCCGGCAUCCCAGACAAACAGUUCUGCCUGACAACAGCUGAAGUCCAAGAUUCGACUUGAGAUUGAUUGCACCAACCUGAUUGGAAUAAACCACAAGAGAUACCUUCCUGGCCACUCCCCAAACCCGAACUGAUGCCUCUGGAACUUGUACCUUCCCUUGGUUUGGUUGU